This 301-nucleotide ribosomal RNA is filed under the name uncultured bacterium. Its description in RNAcentral is "partial 16S ribosomal RNA". It matches the Rfam family "Bacterial small subunit ribosomal RNA", at positions 509 to 807 of the family's 1533-position model. The record is from RNAcentral.
CAGCCGCCGCGGGAAUACGUAGGGUGCGAGCGUUAAUCGGAAUUACUGGGCGUAAAGCGUGCGCAGGCGGUUAUAUAAGACAGGUGUGAAAUCCCCGGGCUCAACCUGGGACCUGCAUUUGUGACUGUAUAGCUAGAGUACGGUAGAGGGGGAUGGAAUUCCGCGUGUAGCAGUGAAAUGCGUAGAUAUGCGGAGGAACACCGAUGGCGAAGGCAAUCCCCUGGACCUGUACUGACGCUCAUGCACGAAAGCGUGGGGAGCAAACAGGAUUAGAUACCCGGGUAGUCCCUGUCUCUUAUAC